Molecule: ribosomal RNA, 1239 nt
Filed under: uncultured Pantoea sp.
Lineage: Bacteria; Pseudomonadati; Pseudomonadota; Gammaproteobacteria; Enterobacterales; Erwiniaceae
Description: SSU rRNA
Rfam family: Bacterial small subunit ribosomal RNA
Source: RNAcentral
GUAGCUAAUACCGCAUAAUGUCGCAAGACCAAAGAGGGGGACCUUCGGGCCUCUUGCCAUCAGAUGUGCCCAGAUGGGAUUAGCUAGUAGGUGGGGUAACGGCUCACCUAGGCGACGAUCCCUAGCUGGUCUGAGAGGAUGACCAGCCACACUGGAACUGAGACACGGUCCAGACUCCUACGGGAGGCAGCAGUGGGGAAUAUUGCACAAUGGGCGCAAGCCUGAUGCAGCCAUGCCGCGUGUAUGAAGAAGGCCUUCGGGUUGUAAAGUACUUUCAGCGGGGAGGAAGGUGGUGAGGUUAAUAACCUCAGCAAUUGACGUUACCCGCAGAAGAAGCACCGGCUAACUCCGUGCCAGCAGCCGCGGUAAUACGGAGGGUGCAAGCGUUAAUCGGAAUUACUGGGCGUAAAGCGCACGCAGGCGGUCUGUCAAGUCGGAUGUGAAAUCCCCGGGCUCAACCUGGGAACUGCAUUCGAAACUGGCAGGCUAGAGUCUUGUAGAGGGGGGUAGAAUUCCAGGUGUAGCGGUGAAAUGCGUAGAGAUCUGGAGGAAUACCGGUGGCGAAGGCGGCCCCCUGGACAAAGACUGACGCUCAGGUGCGAAAGCGUGGGGAGCAAACAUGGAUUAGAUACCCUGGUAGUCCACGCCGUAAACGAUGUCGACUGCGAGGUUGUGCCCUUGAGGCGUGGCUUCCGGAGCUAACGCGUUAAGUCGACCGCCUGGGGAGUACGGCCGCAAGGUUAAAACUCAAAUGAAUUGACGGGGGCCCGCACAAGCGGUGGAGCAUGUGGUUUAAUUCGAUGCAACGCGAAGAACCUUACCUACUCUUGACAUCCAGAGAACUUUCCAGAGAUGGAUUGGUGCCUUCGGGAACUCUGAGACAGGUGCUGCAUGGCUGUCGUCAGCUCGUGUUGUGAAAUGUUGGGUUAAGUCCCGCAACGAGCGCAACCCUUAUCCUUUGUUGCCAGCGGUUAGGCCGGGAACUCAAAGGAGACUGCCAGUGAUAAACUGGAGGAAGGUGGGGAUGACGUCAAGUCAUCAUGGCCCUUACGAGUAGGGCUACACACGUGCUACAAUGGCGCAUACAAAGAGAAGCGACCUCGCGAGAGCAAGCGGACCUCAUAAAGUGCGUCGUAGUCCGGAUUGGAGUCUGCAACUCGACUCCAUGAAGUCGGAAUCGCUAGUAAUCGUAGAUCAGAAUGCUACGGUGAAUACGUUCCCGGGCCUUGUACACACCGA